ACAUUAUUUCAUUUCAUUUUUUCUUUCUAUAAAGGAAAAAUUAGGUAGUGACAAGAAUUACUAUAUUUUUGUCGAAGUAUUCUGGUAUGGUGCACCAUUAAUUUAGCAGCAAAUAAGGAAAAUUGAAGUUGGAAGAGAAACCAGAGAACUACCAGUUUGCAUGGAUCUUUUUGAUUUCUCAAAACAGUUCUGGGGAUUCAAAAGGGAGAGCAUUCUUCCAAGUACUCUCUAGAGGUAACAAAACCAUUCAAACUUGUCCACUUUUGAGAGAUGAAUCCUAUCCAUUGGCAACCUCAAGGAACAUUCCUUGGCACAUUCAUAAGAUAUACUUCUGAUUUCCUUAAAAAUAUUCAUCCUACAGUUGCAGAGGUGUAUGGUUUGGUAUAAUGUUCACAAUUUGCAACCUUAAUUUCAUCAAUAAAUUAAAACUUUGAUGUAUAAAGUGUCAUGUCUGUAUGCUAAGAAUGAGACUCAUCAUUGGACAAGAAAAAGAAAUGGCAUUUUUCUUCUCUUUUUACGUUCAAUUUGCUGAAGUGAAAAAUGGGUUA
Vigna radiata var. radiata (mung bean) is the source of this 548-nucleotide long non-coding RNA. RefSeq lists it as uncharacterized. The transcript is spliced from 3 exons. NCBI's taxonomy places the organism in Eukaryota, Viridiplantae, Streptophyta, Magnoliopsida, Fabales, Fabaceae. The record is from RefSeq and is a predicted model, not a curated record.